CGCCUGUUUAACAAAAACAUGUAAAUUAGAUUUAUAAUGCCUGCUCAAUGAAAUAUUUAAAUAGCCGCGUUAGUGUUAAGGUAGCAUAGUAAUUAGUUUUUUAAUUGGAAAAUGGAAUGAAUGGUUUCACUAAGAUAUGGUAUUUAUGCUAAUAAAUGAAAUUUUAAUUUAAGUGAAAUACUUAAAAGAUCUUUUAAGACGAGAAGACCCUAUGAAGCUAUAGACUAUAAAUAUAAUUAUUAUAAAUUUUUAAGUUUAUUUUUUGGGGUAAAAUUUAAUAAUUUUAUUUAAAUAAGCUUAUUUUAAUUGAUCCUUUAGGAAUUAUGAAAAAGCUCCUCUAGGGAUAACAGCAUUAUACCUAUAAGAGUUCUUAUCAGAAUAGGUGUUUGUGACCUCGAUGUUGAAU
This 406-nucleotide ribosomal RNA is filed under the name Calanus hyperboreus. RNAcentral describes it as "partial 16S ribosomal RNA". Lineage: Eukaryota; Metazoa; Arthropoda; Copepoda; Calanoida; Calanidae. The record is from RNAcentral.